CAAAUCUGCAACACAGUUUUAAUAAGGUAAACUGCUCAGACUAUGUUACUUCACUAACAAAAGGUUUUUUGCAGACUAACCUCUUCUUCGACAGCUGGAGCGGCGUCUUUAUCUGCCAGCCGCGUACGGCAAGGGAACGCCCUCAACACUGUAAGCACUGAGGAACAUGGAAAAUACAUUUUGAGUGUUUAUAACCUCCAAAGUUUGUACAGCUGUUAAAAAAAAUGUUCACACUUACACUGGGUGUUAGUGUCCCAUCGUCCCCCUAAAUAUCCCACCACCUCGCUCGUGGUCAGGUGACAGUGAAAAUCCUAUAAAUGGAGGAGAAUAAAAAGGUUUAUACUGGCUUCAACUGUUGACACUCUAUCAUCAGUAUUGAUUUGACUCUUUAUCAGAAAAUCAUAAAUCCAUGAGCACUUCAUACCAUUAGCAGCAGAACGUUGCUGGACACUGCUACAUUAAAAGGCUGGAAGCGGUUGAUCGCAGAAAAGGCAGACAGUUCUACGAGAGUGUGAGGAUCCCUGUCAAGACAAACACAGGAAUACUCCGGUACACUUUGUUUUGGAAGAAAGUGCAAUAAAUGUUGUUUAAACUCUAAAACUGUCGCAUAAAGAAAGAAACAUUAUAUUUGUAAUGUAAUAAUUACCUUGCAGCAUCUCUAGUGCCAAGAGUGCAAUACCUGACUGGAAUUCUCUCUCUGUCUCUCCUCUGCAUCAGGCCAAUGUCUGGGGAAAAAAACAAA
Molecule: long non-coding RNA, 742 nt
Organism: Carassius carassius (crucian carp)
Lineage: Eukaryota; Metazoa; Chordata; Actinopteri; Cypriniformes; Cyprinidae
Exons: 2
Source: RefSeq, a predicted model, not a curated record